Molecule: long non-coding RNA, 2269 nt
Organism: Xenia sp. Carnegie-2017
Lineage: Eukaryota; Metazoa; Cnidaria; Anthozoa; Malacalcyonacea; Xeniidae
Exons: 5
Source: RefSeq, a predicted model, not a curated record
CAUCGGGUUCUUGCUUGGCAGCGAAAUCGCGAAUUAUUUUGAGCUUUUCUUUUUAAAUGUGAAGCCUAAUUAUAUAUGCAAAAUGCACUUCCGGUUACCCACUAGAAAUACAAAUUACUGUAGAAGUGUUUGGCGGAUAACGUUUACAAACAAGGAUUUUCGAAUAUUUAAGACAUUUGGCGACGUUUUACUUAUUUCAAAUAUCUGUCAUUGAUAACCCAAGCUCUUUAAAUCAAUUUGACAUGAAAAUUAUUUCGAUACCUGUAAAAUAUCGGCGUUCAUGUUCAUUUGAAAAUCGCUCGUGCAAGAAUCGAAUUUGCCUCAUAGUGGCCAAGGCAAGAUAAUUCACAGCUCGCUUUCCACGUUUAGAGGCAGUUAUGAUCUAGAAUAUGUUUCAAUGCUUAAAAUUGUGAUAAUAUUAUCACUACACCUUGCUACAGCAUUUGGAUACGGUAUUCAUCAGUACGUAUGGUUGUUAUUGUCAUAACAUGCAGAGGCGGAUCUAGGUUCAUAUCAUAAUGAAAUGUGACCAGGCGCAAUACAAAAAAAAAUGGAUUGCUGCUAAUAAAGCUUUAAGAUGCAGUGAUGCAAUGCCUAAUGAUGAUGGCUGUUGUAAUCUGUUCAAUAAUGUUUUUGAUAAUGACCUUGGACAUUCAUAUCCUUUACAAAAAUCAGCUUGAACCAUUGCCAGUCCUAAACAAAGUUCUUUCUCUUUAAAAGUUGGUCUUAAUGAUUGUGAUAUUGGGGAAAAUGACCGUGCUGUUUCUGGUGAAGUUGAUUCUUUAGAUGUUUCUUUUUGCCAUGGAAAAGCUGAUUUUUUAGUGCAUGUGAAUGCAGAUAUUGAGGAAAGGCAUUCUUCUGAUUCUUCUGAUUUUGAACAUUAUAGUUUAAAUGUUUCUUUUCAAGAUGGGUUAGUUGAUUGGGUGAAUGAGUACUAAAUUAAGCAAAAUUCUGUUGAUGGUUUGCUUCCUCUUCCUAAGGAUAAUUGUCAUCCAAAUUUGCCUAGUUGUGCCUGCACUUUGUUGCAUACAUCAAGAUGUAUUCCCAUUCAGAAAUAAUCUGGCAUAGAUUACACAUAUUUCUCUUUUGGUGAACAAUUGUUAAAGCACUUUCACAAGCCCCUUGUGAAACAGUUAAGAACAUUUAUCAUCUUGAAAUCUCUUUAAAUGUUGAUGGGCUUCCUUUGUUUAAAAGUUCUGCAAAAAAUGUAUGGCCAGUGUUGUGUGCGAUUUUGAAUAUCAAACCUGUUGUAGUGUUUCCUAUUGUCCUAACAUGUGGUGACUCGAAGCCAAAAGACUUGGAGUUUUUGGAUGAUUUUAUAGAAAAUUUGAAGGGUAUUCUAGAAAGGGGAGUCCAAGAUGGGGAAAAGGUUCUGACUGUUACAGUAAGGGGAAUUGUUUGUGAUGCUCCUGCAAGAGUACUUGUUAAAGGUACAAAACUUUGUACUGGUUAUUUUGGUUGUGACAAGUGUACACAAAAAGGGAAGUGGCUUGGUCUAGGGACUUACUCUCAAAAUACUAAUAUAGAAUUGUGCAGUAAUAUUUCCGUUAGAAAGCAGAUACAAGAAGAACAUCAUCGCUUUGUUAGCCCUUUCCGUCACUUGCCUGUUGAUAUGGUAGAAUAAUUUCCAAUUGACUACGUGCAUCAACUGUGUCUGGGUGUUAUGCGUAAAUUGAUUAUGGUUUGGAUGAGGGGAAAUUGCGCUACUAUAAUGUCUGUUGCCCAUGUAGAGGCUGUUAGUAAAAAAUUGGUGGAGCUUAAACAAUUUAUCCCCUCUACAUUUGUGCAAAAACCUAGGAGUUUAAUGGACGUUGACAGAUGGAAAGCUACAGAAUUCAAACAGUGUGCAGUUUUUCACACAUUGCUACGUUGCCUUUAAAUGUAAUGAGUGAUUUUGCUUUUUAGAUUCGCCGGUAUACAGCGAGCUGAUCUCCCUUUGCAGAAAAAGCACCAGAAAUCCUAAACACAAAGGAUCAUGCAAUAACGUCCCCUUCUACUAGUAGGACACCAUCUCAACGUAGUGUGCCUUAAUUUAAGUGACGUUCGUGCGUUCAAUAAAGAUAUAUGUUAAACCCAGUACGUGUUUUUUCUGUAAAUACAAGCAACGUCUCUUCACAAGGAAUUCCUACAACUGGAACAACAAGAGAAAGACAUUCUCCACGAAACAGUGGUGUCUUAGGCAAGCUUUUCUUACAAUUCAUUAUUGCAUGUCUUGUUGUUACGUUUUCAUUUACGUUCAUUUCGUGUCGUUUGAAAUGUUUCUUUUUCU